AGCAUCAUUAUAAUAAAAAGUAAUAGCUCUAUACAGCAAUAAAUAGAAAUAAUUCUUGAUAAGAUGUUUCAACAUGGAUGACUGUUGAAAAUAUGCUAAGUAAAAGAAAAACUGAAAGAUCACAUAUCAUGAUUUCAUUUAUAUGAAUUUCUGAGAAAGAGCAAUCUCUAGAGAGAAGUUAAUAGUUGCGUGGAAGUGGGCAUUGACUGAAUGAGCAGAACGGAACUUUUUGAGUGAUAAUGGUUGUGCAACUGUAUGUUUACUAAAAUCAGUAGGAUGUACACUUAUAAUCAGAUUUUAUGAUAUGUAAAUUAUGUCAGGAAAUUCUGUUUUAAAGCAUGGGGGGACUAUGGGAGGAAAAACAAACUGCUGGAACAUCUGUAUUUUUAGAGUCUGAAAUGAGGACUAUUAGGAAGGAUUUUAAUAGAGGAAAAAAUAACAUAGUACUUUUGCCCAGAGAAAACAAAUUGAAGUGAUUUUGCCCUCCCCUCAGAUUCCACUCCCCACAUAGAUCCCUUCAGAUAGAUUGGUAUUUGUUAUCAGGCCACACACAGGGACCUUCUUCCUCUCCCACUUUGUACCCGUGACUUCUAUACACACGAAUACACGCACACGCCUUUUUUUAAAUUAAAAUUCCUAUUAACAUAAAAUUUAUUUUAACGAAUUUGAAGUGUCCAGUUUAGUCAUUUUAGUAUAUUCAAAGUGUUUUACAACUGUCAUCACUAUGUAAUUUCAGAAUAUUUCCAUCACCCCAAGAAGAAACCCUUUACUUCUCAAUUCCCACCUCCCAUGCCCUUUCAACCACUGUUUAUUUUCUGUGUCUGGUUUUGCUUAUUCUGGACAUUUCAUAUAAAUAGGAGCAUGAAAUGUGGCCUUUUGCUUCUGGCAUCUUUCACUUUGCAUAUUGUUUUCAGUCAUCUUUUUAUAUUUUAACCAAGCAGUCUAUUAUGGGCAUCAUUAUGUAUGUUGAACACUGAAAUUUAUUUUUUACUUCACCAGUUCCCUGCUGUUGAACAACUGGGAUCUUUGUACCUUCCUUUAAAAAUUAC
Bos taurus (domestic cattle) is the source of this 1049-nucleotide long non-coding RNA. Lineage: Eukaryota; Metazoa; Chordata; Mammalia; Artiodactyla; Bovidae. The record is from Ensembl.